RNAcentral lists this ribosomal RNA (492 nucleotides) under uncultured bacterium. RNAcentral's name for it is "partial 16S ribosomal RNA". It matches the Rfam family "Bacterial small subunit ribosomal RNA", at positions 29 to 507 of the family's 1533-position model. The record is from RNAcentral.
AGUGAACGCUGGCGGUAGGCCUAACACAUGCAAGUCGAACGGCAGCACAGUAAGAGCUUGCUCUUACGGGUGGCGAGUGGCGGACGGGUGAGGAAUACAUCGGAAUCUACUUUUUCGUGGGGGAUAACGUAGGGAAACUUACGCUAAUACCGCAUACGACCUACGGGUGAAAGCAGGGGAUCUUCUGACCUUGCGCGAUUGAAUGAGCCGAUGUCGGAUUAGCUAGUUGGCGGGGUAAAGGCCCACCAAGGCGACGAUCCGUAGCUGGUCUGAGAGGAUGGUCAGCCACACUGGAGCUGAGACACGGUCCAGACUACUACGGGAGGCAGCAGUGGGGAAUAUUGGACAAUGGGGGGAAGCCUGAUCCAGCCAUACCGCGUGGGUGAAGAAGGCCUUCGGGUUGUAAAGCCCUUUUGUUGGGAAAGAACAGCAGCAGGUUAAUACCCCGCUGUUCUGACGGUACCCAAAGAAUAAGCACCGGCUAACUUCGUG